RNAcentral lists this unclassified non-coding RNA (300 nucleotides) under uncultured Pleosporales. RNAcentral describes it as "sequence contains 5.8S rRNA gene, ITS2". The stretch from base 1 to 86 matches the Rfam family "5.8S ribosomal RNA", at positions 67 to 154 of the family's 154-position model. The record is from RNAcentral. Lineage: Eukaryota; Fungi; Ascomycota; Dothideomycetes; Pleosporales.
GUGUAUAAGAGACAGGUGAAUCAUCGAAUCUUUGAACGCACAUUGCGCCCCUUGGUAUUCCAUUGGGCAUGCCUGUUCGAGCGUCAUUUACACCCUCAAGCCUAGCUUGGUGUUGGGCGUCUGUCCCUGUUUCGCGCAGGGACUCGCCCUAAAUACAUUGGCAGCGACGUUGUCGGCUUCUUGCGCAGCACUUUGCGCUUUGGGGUCUUCCAGCGUGAUCGCAUCCAUAAGAAUUAUCUAGUUUGACCUCGAAUCAGGUAGGGAUACCCGCUGAACUUAAGCAUAUCAAUAAGCGGAGGA